RNAcentral lists this transfer RNA (71 nucleotides) under marine eukaryotic metagenome. It matches the Rfam family "tRNA". From Rfam's summary of the family: Transfer RNA (tRNA) molecules are approximately 80 nucleotides in length. Their secondary structure includes four short double-helical elements and three loops (D, anti-codon, and T loops). The record is from RNAcentral.
GGGCUGUAGCUCAGUUGGGAGAGCGCUACAUUCGCAUUGUAGAGGUCGAGGGUUCGAUUCCCUUCAGCUCC